UGAUGUGAGGGCAGUCUGGCUGCGACAUCUGUCACCCCAUUGAUUGCCCCGGUCGAUUCGGUUGAUCUGGCUGGCUAGGCGAGUGUCCCCUUCCUCCCUCACCGCUCCAUGUGCAUCGUUGCUGAAUAGAGAUGGACUGGUCUUCAAGUCGAGGGUUUAUGAAUAGCUGUGCUCCCCUGCUAGACCCUCUGAACAAGCUCUCAGGAAACAGGGUUGCCCAAUAUGGAGUGGGAGGUCCAGACCUGAGUGCAGAGCCCAAGUACUAAGUAAUUUUAGACAGCCUCUUUAUCUGGCUGGUCUG
Unclassified non-coding RNA from Erinaceus europaeus (western European hedgehog), 301 nucleotides. Its record names the gene 7SK. It matches the Rfam family "7SK RNA". Rfam says of the family: 7SK was discovered as an abundant small nuclear RNA in the mid-70s but a possible function has only recently been suggested. Two independent studies have found that 7SK RNA binds the CDK9/cyclin T complex (known as elongation factor P-TEFb). P-TEFb activates transcription by phosphorylating the C-terminal domain of RNA polymerase II. The record is from Ensembl. NCBI's taxonomy places the organism in Eukaryota, Metazoa, Chordata, Mammalia, Eulipotyphla, Erinaceidae.